Paramisgurnus dabryanus is the source of this 1806-nucleotide non-coding RNA. The record is from RefSeq and is a predicted model, not a curated record. NCBI's taxonomy places the organism in Eukaryota, Metazoa, Chordata, Actinopteri, Cypriniformes, Cobitidae.
ACCCGCCAUAAAAUUGAAAGAAGAAGAAGAAGAAGGAAGAGCCGCUUGUGCGCAUGUGCGUGCAUGCAUCCAGAGGUUACCACGCGAGACUGAGUAAAUACAGACAGGUGGAUAUUAAUCAGUUCGAUGACUAAAAUACUUCUUGCCAUCAACGGACAACGUUUCGUAUGUAAUGAAUUUCUCACUUGUGCAAACUUGGUCUGUGUGUGAGUGCUACAGUGGCAUAUAUUAUGGCAAAUUUUACAUGCCACUCAUGUGAAAUAUGAAAGUAAUAUGAAACAUUCAGUCACUCAAAACCCUAGGUCAGUUUAAUCCUGGGUUAUCUUGCAUGACACUUCACAAUUUACCUGGGGUUACCAAUUAAUCAUGCAGAUUUAUAAAUUAAUGUUUUUUAUACCACUGGCCUGUUGAAUAUUUUAUUCUGAUUGGCUGAGAAAUGUUUGAUUGGUUAUUUUUCUGUAAACCGCACACCUAACCUGUCAAAUAUCUUAAAGUUAAACGACAUAGAUUUUCAAUAUUUUAUUAUUUUCUUUCCUCAACUUAGAAUAAUUAAUAUUUUACAUGCCUAUCUUUUUUCAAUGUGUGCAACUAAUCUUUGCACAGUCCGUUGUGAAUGUGUUGGCAUUUAGGCAUCCAGCCCGUUCAUUCCUUAGGAUUUGAAUGGACCGGAUAAAUGGUAUGAUCACUCCAUCAUGCAUAAAAACACAAUCAACAGGGAUAUAAUUUGGGACUUGCUGAUGAACUGAUUAAUUCCAUCAUAGUUAGUUUUAUGUGUUAUCCUUAACUGAACACAAUAUGUGUUGUUUUAACACAACCAUUUUUAGAGUGUACAAGCAUGCAUCAAUUUAUAAGUGUAGAAGUGUGUGCAUGGCUGCCAUUUAAAUGGACUAUUGAAAAAUCAAUGAAAUUGUUAACUCCACUGGUCUUAAUUAUAAAGGGCACAUAUUAUUAGAAUACUUUUCUUAGGUGUUAGAACACCAAUGUGUCCUCAGUGUGUAAACAACCAGCCUAAAAUGGUAAAAAUACUUACACUUCUAUUUUAUGUAAUUUAAAUAAUUCAAAACCCCUGUUGAGAAAUACGUGAAAGGUGGUCACGGUACUUGUACAUUCAGGACGUGAUACACUUUACUGGACAUUUUAGAGAAUAGAUGAUAAUUCUACCACAUUUUAAUCAAUCUCACAAUUUUUUUUCCUUUCCUUACAGAUACUACAGUACGUGAUCUGGAGCUUGACUUCACCUGUUUUGUGGUGGUUAACAAAUUGUGCGGUGCUUUUGGCAUUGUCUAUCCAUGUAUAAUUGUGAUGUUCCAGGAGUGUUAACGGAAGCUACACAGUAUGUAAAUGUUUGUUCCAUUAUGUGUAUGUGUGUGUACCUGGUAAUUAUUACGUUGUGGGGACCUAAUGUCCCCACAAAGAUAGGAAUACCAGUAAAUUUUGACCUCGUGGGGACAUUUGUGAGGUCCCCAUGAGGAACCAAGCUUAUAAAUUAAACGGAAUGAUUUUCUUGGAUUUUUUCUUGAAAAUCUAAGGUCGCAGAAAGUUUUCUGUGAUGGUUGGGGUUAGGAUUUGGGGAAGGGAAUAGAAUAUACAGUUUGUACAGUAUAAAAUGCAUUAUGUCUAUGGAAUGUCCCCACAAAAGAUGGAAACCAGAAUGUGUGUGUGUGCGUGCCAUGGAACAAAUAUUUAUUUUUAUAGCUUUUUGUGUGUUCUGUUUUUGACUUUCCCCCUGAUAUCAAGACACCAAAAUAAUAUUUUAAUACGCAUUUUCAUGUGUUCGUAAAGAAAAUAAAGUGUACUUCACUGUUU